GGUGGAGGAACUAUUUCUUGACGUAAUCUGUCUCUGUCGGCCCCGACGCUCCCGCAGUCUCUGAGUGAGCCAAGAUCAGCGAUUGUCAGUUCAGAACGUGGCUUUUAAAAAUGCGUUUUUAAAUACUGUGUUGAAGAAGUGGAGGAGAGAUCGACAGAACUUAACUGGGGCAUCCCCAUCCGGUCUGCCUGCUCACCCUUCUCUGCCCCCCAUGUCCAUUUCUGCGACACUCUUCCCCCCCAAAAAAGAAGUCUCUCGGAGGUUCUGUCUGCAGAGAGCCAGGGUGAGAGCAGACAAGGCGAAAGAGCGACCUCGGUCGUGGGCAAGUAGCUUGUUUUUACAUCCUUCAAUAAAAUUUUUAUGAGGAUCA
Long non-coding RNA from Nannospalax galili (Upper Galilee mountains blind mole rat), 370 nucleotides. RefSeq lists it as uncharacterized. The transcript is spliced from 2 exons. Lineage: Eukaryota; Metazoa; Chordata; Mammalia; Rodentia; Spalacidae. The record is from RefSeq and is a predicted model, not a curated record.